This 254-nucleotide ribosomal RNA is filed under the name uncultured bacterium. RNAcentral describes it as "partial 16S ribosomal RNA". It matches the Rfam family "Bacterial small subunit ribosomal RNA", at positions 524 to 776 of the family's 1533-position model. The record is from RNAcentral.
UACGGAGGGGGCUAGCGUUGUUCGGAUUUACUGGGCGUAAAGGGCGCGUAGGCGGCCACCGCAAGUCGGUUGUGAAAUCUCUGGGCUUAACCCAGAAAGGUCAACCGAUACUGCGGGGCUAGAGUGCAGAAGGGGCAACUGGAAUUCUCGGUGUAGCGGUGAAAUGCGUAGAUAUCGAGAGGAACACCUGCGGCGAAGGCGGGUUGCUGGGCUGACACUGACGCUGAAGCGCGAAAGCUAGGGGAGCGAACGGG